RNAcentral lists this ribosomal RNA (601 nucleotides) under Cytobacillus kochii. Its description in RNAcentral is "bacterial SSU rRNA". It matches the Rfam family "Bacterial small subunit ribosomal RNA", at positions 83 to 671 of the family's 1533-position model. Lineage: Bacteria; Bacillati; Bacillota; Bacilli; Caryophanales; Bacillaceae. The record is from RNAcentral.
UCCCAAAGAUUAGCGGCGGACGGGUGAGUAACACGUGGGCAACCUGCCUGUAAGACUGGGAUAACUCCGGGAAACCGGGGCUAAUACCGGAUAAUAUCUAUUUAUACAUAUAAUUAGAUUGAAAGAUGGUUCUGCUAUCACUUACAGAUGGGCCCGCGGCGCAUUAGCUAGUUGGUGAGGUAACGGCUCACCAAGGCGACGAUGCGUAGCCGACCUGAGAGGGUGAUCGGCCACACUGGGACUGAGACACGGCCCAGACUCCUACGGGAGGCAGCAGUAGGGAAUCUUCCGCAAUGGACGAAAGUCUGACGGAGCAACGCCGCGUGAGUGAUGAAGGUUUUCGGAUCGUAAAACUCUGUUGUUAGGGAAGAACAAGUACCGGAGUAACUGCCGGUACCUUGACGGUACCUAACCAGAAAGCCACGGCUAACUACGUGCCAGCAGCCGCGGUAAUACGUAGGUGGCAAGCGUUGUCCGGAAUUAUUGGGCGUAAAGCGCGCGCAGGCGGUUCCUUAAGUCUGAUGUGAAAGCCCACGGCUCAACCGUGGAGGGUCAUUGGAAACUGGGGAACUUGAGUGCAGAAGAGGAAAGUGGAAUUCCA